AUUGAACGCUGGCGGCAUGCUUACACAUGCAAGUCGAACGGUAACAGGUUAAGCUGACGAGUGGCGAACGGGUGAGUAAUGCAUCGGAACGUGCCCGGUCGUGGGGGAUAACGCAGCGAAAGCUGCGCUAAUACCGCAUACGAUCUGAGGAUGAAAGCGGGGGACCGUAAGGCCUCGCGCGAUCGGAGCGGCCGAUGUCAGAUUAGGUAGUUGGUGGGGUAAAGGCUCACCAAGCCGACGAUCUGUAGCUGGUCUGAGAGGACGACCAGCCACACUGGGACUAAGACACGGCCCAGACUCCGACGGGAGGCAGCAGUGGGGAAUUUUGGACAAUGGGCGCAAGCCUGAUCCAGCAAUGCCGCGUGCAGGAAGAAGGCCUUCGGGUUGUAAACUGCUUUUGUACGGAGCGAAAAGGCUCUCUCUAAUACAGGGGGCUCAUGACGGUACCGUAAGAAUAAGCACCGGCUAACUACGUGCCAGCAGCCGCCGUAA
RNAcentral lists this ribosomal RNA (492 nucleotides) under uncultured bacterium. RNAcentral describes it as "partial 16S ribosomal RNA". It matches the Rfam family "Bacterial small subunit ribosomal RNA", at positions 29 to 523 of the family's 1533-position model. The record is from RNAcentral.